Molecule: ribosomal RNA, 720 nt
Filed under: uncultured bacterium
Lineage: Bacteria
Description: bacterial SSU rRNA
Rfam family: Bacterial small subunit ribosomal RNA
Source: RNAcentral
GGUGAGUAACACGUGGGUAACCUGCCCUAAAGUCUGGGAUACCACUUGGAAACAGGUGCUAAUACCGGAUAACAACAAUAGCUGCAUGGCUAUUGCUUAAAAGGCGGCGAAAGCUGUCGCUAAAGGAUGGACCCGCGGUGCAUUAGCUAGUUGGUAAGGUAAUGGCUUACCAAGGCGACGAUGCAUAGCCGAGUUGAGAGACUGAUCGGCCACAUUGGGACUGAGACACGGCCCAAACUCCUACGGGAGGCAGCAGUAGGGAAUCUUCCACAAUGGGCGAAAGCCUGAUGGAGCAACGCCGCGUGAGUGAAGAAGGUUUUCGGAUCGUAAAGCUCUGUUGUUGGUGAAGAAGGAUAGAGGUAGUAACUGGCCCCUAUUUGACGGUAAUCAACCAGAAAGUCACGGCUAACUACGUGCCAGCAGCCGCGGUAAUACGUAGGUGGCAAGCGUUGUCCGGAUUUAUUGGGCGUAAAGCGAGCGCAGGCGGAAAGAUAAGUCUGAUGUGAAAGCCCCCGGCUUAACCGAGGAAUUGCAUCGGAAACUGUGUUUCUUGAGUGCAGAAGAGGAGAGUGGAACUCCAUGUGUAGCGGUGGAAUGCGUAGAUAUAUGGAAGAACACCAGUGGCGAAGGCGGCUCUCUGGUCUGUAACUGACGCUGAGGCUCGAAAGCAUGGGUAGCGAACAGGAUUAGAUACCCUGGUAGUCCAUGCCGUAAACGAUG